GGAAGCGUGGCCGAGUGGUUUAAGGCACUGGUCUUGAAAACCAGAGAUGGGCGACUAUCCGUGAGUUCGAAUCUCACCGCUUCCGCCA
RNAcentral lists this transfer RNA (88 nucleotides) under Burkholderia sp. Its description in RNAcentral is "tRNA-Ser". It matches the Rfam family "tRNA". From Rfam's summary of the family: Transfer RNA (tRNA) molecules are approximately 80 nucleotides in length. Their secondary structure includes four short double-helical elements and three loops (D, anti-codon, and T loops). Lineage: Bacteria; Pseudomonadati; Pseudomonadota; Betaproteobacteria; Burkholderiales; Burkholderiaceae. The record is from RNAcentral.